RNAcentral lists this small RNA (756 nucleotides) under Pan troglodytes (chimpanzee). RNAcentral's name for it is "processed transcript". Lineage: Eukaryota; Metazoa; Chordata; Mammalia; Primates; Hominidae. The record is from RNAcentral.
AAGUGCAGCUGCUUCAGGCUGAGGUGGCAGAUAGUGAGCGCUGGUGGCGGAGUUAAAGUCAAAGCAGGAGAGUAAUUAUGAAUAGCGCAGCGGGAUUCUCACACCUAGACCGUCGCGAGCGGGUUCUCAAGUUAGGGGAGAGUUUCGAGAAGCAGCCGCGCUGCGCCUUCCACACUGUGCGCUAAUUGUAGAGCGGGAAGGAAACUUCAAGAUCACUGAAUUAUAACUUCUCAUUUUUCUGUGGUAAAACUAGCUCCCCACGAUGAGAUAGUGCCGUGCUGGCUCUGCAUUUUCUCUCUCUCUUCAGUCCCAUUUUCCGGAAGUGUGAUAUGCGUCUUUAUCUGGUUUCUCCAUGCCUUUUUCUCAAAUAGUAUCUACUCUCUCCUUUUCUCUUCCUUCUCAGGAGCAAUUCUGCCUGUCUGAUAUAAGACUUCAGGCAAACCCGGAUGUGAAUCCUGGUCUCCACCACCUAUAUAUAUAAUGUGACUUUGGGAACAUUCUCUAAGCUCUCAACCUCAGUUUUCUUAUGGCUAAAAGAUAAUAGUAAUAUUUACAUUUCAUGGUUUGUGUAAGGAUUAAAUAAGAUAGCAUAAACAACCUGGAACAAUAUUUGCCACAGGGUAGAGAAUAAAUAGUAGUCACCAUUAAUGUUGAAGAGUUAUAUUCAUAUGUGUACGAGGGGUGCUAAUGAAUGUAAUUUAGUCAGACUUUGAAACAGCAUUUAUCAGAGUUUAGCAAUAAAAACUAUCAAAAAGA